UCUCCGUAGGUGAACCUGCGGAAGGAUCAUUCAUAAUAAGUGUUUUAUGGCACUUUUUUAAAUCCAUAUCCACCUUGUGUGCAAUGUCAGGGUUGACUUUUCUCUCGAGAGGAUCAACCCCAAACAUCAACUAUAUCUCAACUCUUUGUCUGAAAAAUAUUAUGAAUAAAACAAUUCAAAAUACAACUUUCAACAACGGAUCUCUUGGCUCUC
This 213-nucleotide unclassified non-coding RNA is filed under the name plant metagenome. RNAcentral describes it as "partial contains small subunit ribosomal RNA, internal transcribed spacer 1, and 5.8S ribosomal RNA". The record is from RNAcentral.